GGGGGGGGCAAGCGUUGUUCGGAAUUACUGGGCGUAAAGGGUGCGUAGGCGGCUUUCUAAGUUGGAUGUGAAAACUCUGGGCUCAACCCAGAGCCUGCAUCCAAAACUGGAGAGCUUGGGUACUGGAGGGGAAAGCGGAAUUCCUGGUGUAGCGGUGAAAUGCGUAGAUAUCAGGAGGAACACCGGUGGCGAAGGCGGCUUUCUGGACAGUUACCGACGCUGAGGCACGAAAGCUAGGGGAGCAAACAGGAUUAGAUACCCUGGUAGUCCUAGCCCUAAACGAUGGAUACUUGCUGUGAGGGGGAUUGAAACCCUUUGUGGCGAARMWAACGCAUUAAGUAUCCCGCCUGGGGAGUACGGUCGCAA
RNAcentral lists this ribosomal RNA (366 nucleotides) under uncultured bacterium. RNAcentral describes it as "bacterial SSU rRNA". It matches the Rfam family "Bacterial small subunit ribosomal RNA", at positions 527 to 891 of the family's 1533-position model. The record is from RNAcentral.